CUGGCACUGGCACUUGCUUACAUGAUUGCUAGUGCCGCCAACCCCGCUGCUCUACGCGUCUUGCCCUUUGCUGGAUGGAAGAUUGGAAAUGCCUGAGUCACUGGUUCUACGCUAUUGAUUCCCACCGGAGCUGCCGCCGCGCGCCGCCUCAUUAUCAACGUGGCUGGUCGAGGAUUCCACAUAACGUGAUUCCUGUCCUCAGCAGAUACGAAAUAUUGUUCGAGACCUGAGCUUCACCAGUCACGCUCCCAUGGACUUCGUGACUGGCUGUUCCGCCGCUGCACACCUCAAUGAAGAAAGAACAAGACUACACAACUGAUGAGGUUUACUGUGUAUGGAAUUAAACCCCACUACAACUGUGGUUUAUUGGCGAAAGCUGACAGUUGCCCACGUCUUGAAGAGAAGACGUGGAGCAGAAAUCAGUCACCUUCCGCCAAUAAAGCACAGUGGUAAUGGUGUUUGUCUCCACGCCCCCACACACUUCAUCUCCCAAUCCUGCCUGUCCUGUUCAUCCCAUGGAAGUGAGAUCAACCAGAGAGAGACGGGAAGGAAUAGUUGUGAAAGAUGGAGAAGGGAGAAAAAGGAAGCCAGACUGGGGGACUUUGGAGUGAUAUUCUUCAGCAGUGGAUAGGACUGACCAAUGUUGUUCACGAUGUGUUCCAGCGUCCAAUGUUUGCGAAGAAGGGCAUGGCCAAGGGUCCAGGGGCCAUAGCGCACACACCGCAGCUGUGUGCACACAGCACUGGUCUUCAGCUUGAUGCCAAGGGAGUGAAUCAGUUCCUUGAGGUAGUCUCCAGUCUCAUUGAUGCUUGACACUUCUGUUGAGGGAAGAGAAGUACACAGUAGCUACAUUUCAUACAUAAGAUUUGAUCAUAAUGAAGACUGCUUUCAUA
Long non-coding RNA from Scylla paramamosain (green mud crab), 893 nucleotides. RefSeq lists it as uncharacterized. Lineage: Eukaryota; Metazoa; Arthropoda; Malacostraca; Decapoda; Portunidae. The record is from RefSeq and is a predicted model, not a curated record. The transcript is spliced from 5 exons.